Molecule: long non-coding RNA, 584 nt
Filed under: Homo sapiens (human)
Lineage: Eukaryota; Metazoa; Chordata; Mammalia; Primates; Hominidae
Description: non-protein coding lnc-ZNF513-1:2
Source: RNAcentral
AUGACGACCGCGUCUACCUCGCAGGUGCGCCAGAACUACCACCAAGACUCAGAGGCCGCCAUCAACCGCCAGAUCAACCUGGAGCUCUACGCCUCCUCCAUUUACCUGUGCGUGGCUUACUACUUUGACAGCGAUGAUGUGGCUUUGAAGAACUUUGCCAAAUACUUUCUUCACCAAUCUCAUGAGGAGAGGGAACAUGCUGAGAAAUUGAUGAAGCUGUAGAACCAACGAGGUGGCCGAAUCUUCCUUCAGGAUAUCAAGAAACCAGACUGUGCGGGGAGAAUGCGAUGGGAGAGCGGGCUGAAUGCGAUGGAUUACAUUUGGAAAAAAUUGUGCAUUUUGCAUUACAUUUGGAAAAAAAUGUGAAUCAGUCACUACUGGAACUGCACAAACUGGCCACUGACAAAAAUGACCCCCAUUUGUGUGACUUCAUUGAGACACAUUACCUGAAUGAACAAGUGAAGGCCAUCAAAGAAUUGGGUGACCACGUGACCAACAUGCACGAGAUGGGAGCGCCCGAAUCUGGCGUGGCAGAAUACCUCUUUGACAAGCACACCCUGGGAGACAGUGAUAAUGAAAGCUAA